AGUGAACGCUGGCGGUAGGCCUAACACAUGCAAGUCGAACGGCAGCACAGUAAGAGCUUGCUCUUACGGGUGGCGAGUGGCGGACGGGUGAGGAAUACAUCGGAAUCUACUUUUUCGUGGGGGAUAACGUAGGGAAACUUACGCUAAUACCGCAUACGACCUACGGGUGAAAGCAGGGGAUCUUCGGACCUUGCGCGAUUGAAUGAGCCGAUGUCGGGUUAGCUAGUUGGCGGGGUAAAGGCCCACCAAGGCGACGAUCCGUAGCUGGUCUGAGAGGAUGAUCAGCCACACUGGAACUGAGGCACGGUCCAGACUCCUACGGGAGGCAGCAGUGGGGAAUAUUGGACAAUGGGCGCAAGCCUGAUCCAGCCAUACCGCGUGGGUGAAGAAGGCCUUCGGGUUGUAAAGCCCUUUUGUUGGGAAAGAAAAGCAGCAGGUUAAUACCCCGCUGUUCUGACGGUACCCAAAGAAUAAGCACCGGCUAACUUCGUG
This 492-nucleotide ribosomal RNA is filed under the name uncultured bacterium. RNAcentral's name for it is "partial 16S ribosomal RNA". It matches the Rfam family "Bacterial small subunit ribosomal RNA", at positions 29 to 507 of the family's 1533-position model. The record is from RNAcentral.